UGAGUUCUCAGGUCGAUCAUGAAGAAGAAGAAGAAGAAGAAGAUUUACUGUAGGAACUGCAGUUGCGAUUCCUGCAACAACAGCUGCCUUUGCCCCAGCCAUCACGCCCUCUGUUGAUCCAAAAGAAUUAAGAAUUCAAAUUUC
Molecule: long non-coding RNA, 144 nt
Organism: Telopea speciosissima
Lineage: Eukaryota; Viridiplantae; Streptophyta; Magnoliopsida; Proteales; Proteaceae
Exons: 3
Source: RefSeq, a predicted model, not a curated record